UACGUAGGGUGCGAGCGUUAAUCGGAAUUACUGGGCGUAAAGCGUGCGCAGGCGGCUUUGCAAGACAGAGGUGAAAUCCCCGGGCUCAACCUGGGAACUGCAUUUGUGACUGCAAGGCUAGAGUACGGCAGAGGGGGAUGGAAUUCCGCGUGUAGCAGUGAAAUGCGUAGAUAUGCGGAGGAACACCAAUGGCGAAGGCAAUCCCCUGGGCCUGUACUGACGCUCAUGCACGAAAGCGUGGGGAGCAAACAGG
This 253-nucleotide ribosomal RNA is filed under the name uncultured bacterium. Its description in RNAcentral is "partial 16S ribosomal RNA". It matches the Rfam family "Bacterial small subunit ribosomal RNA", at positions 524 to 776 of the family's 1533-position model. The record is from RNAcentral.